Molecule: long non-coding RNA, 731 nt
Filed under: Fragaria vesca (wild strawberry)
Lineage: Eukaryota; Viridiplantae; Streptophyta; Magnoliopsida; Rosales; Rosaceae
Description: long non-coding RNA (FVES_LNC002494)
Source: RNAcentral
AGAUAAUCAUGAAGCUCAAGUCCAGUUCGCAUUGGAACGUGGAAUUCCAGCAAUCCUUGGCAUCAUUUCCACUCAGAGGCUUCCUUUCCCCUCGAAGUCAUUUGAUAUGGCUCAUUGUUCUAGAUGCCUUAUCCCAUGGACGGAAUUUGGUACUUCCUCUAUGCAAUUGCUAUCAUAGUCUUUCUAACCUAGGCAGUACAGUUCAAUAUACACAGAUUUAAUGGUUAACAAUAAAAGGUUUGCUUAAAAUAGCAGAGUGAGCAUACACGGGUCUCGUGAUCUUUUGACAGUGCUGCAUAUUUUCCCUUUUUACCUCAGCAAUAUGAAACAUAUACAUCAGAAGUUGACAUAAGGGUUCUCAGCAUGCUUUAACUAUAUACUGAGAAAUUUCUAAUGUUAGUUUUGUCAAACUUUCAUGUCAGUGCAUAUGCUCCUGUCAGUUAUCUAGUGUUAAAUGUUAUUAUGUUUCUACCAGGUGGAAUUUACCUGCUAGAAAUUCAUCGCAUACUUCGUCCUGGAGGUUUCUGGGUCCUGUCUGGUCCACCUGUCAACUACGAACACCGCUGGCGUGGAUGGAACACAACUAUAGAAGAGCAGAAAACAGAUUACGAGAAGUUGCAAACUCUGCUAACUUCAUUGUGCUUCAAACUGUACAACAAAAAGGAUGACAUUGCUGUUUGGCAGAAGUUGUCAGAUAAUAGUUGCUAUGAUAAGCUCUCUGAACCAGAUAC